This 257-nucleotide ribosomal RNA is filed under the name Rhizophagus irregularis. Lineage: Eukaryota; Fungi; Glomeromycota; Glomeromycetes; Glomerales; Glomeraceae. The record is from RNAcentral.
CUAACAUGUGUGGUUAGUUAACAUCAAUUUUGGUUAUCAUAAAAUGGCUGGAGGAAUGUAGCUUCGAUCUCGUAUUGAAGUGUUAUAGCCUUCGGUAGAUGUGGUGAUCGGGAUUGAGGAUUGCAACGGAUACCCUUCGGGGCUACCUGUCUGAUCUCUGAUCGUUGCUCUGGUACCGAAAGCUUGCUUACGGUUAUCAAAGUCGAUGGUCAACAGGUUAGAACGGGUUAAAUUCGUUAAGGAUGUUGACGUAAUGG